CCCAAUUUGUCGGCAAAAGAGGUUCUGAGCUGCAGAGAUCUUUGCAAGGUCAGUGCUAAAUACCCUGAACGGAAUGGAUCACCAAAGCGUCGUGUGAUUGAACAGCACAAUGGAAAGCGGCAUGCUCCUGAUUGGAUCCUACUGUAGGAAAAGAGCAGGAGCCUCGAAUGAACAGUGGAGGUAGUAUAUACAGUACCUAGCAUUUAAGAUUGAACCGAGAAACCAGAAAAAAAGGUCACGAGGUGGGAGUGGAUCAAUGCACACUGUCCCUCCAGUGGUUGCAUGGUGUUGAAGACAUGGCAGAAGUUCCUGGCCCUACAGAGAGACAUGCUCAGAGGUGAAGGAAGCCGAGCAUGCAAGGAAAAUGGUUGGAGGUCCUUGGAGUAAAUUCUCUCUGCAGCAGCGCAGAGCAGCGUGAUCGCCUCGCAGAGUUGCAUCG
Molecule: long non-coding RNA, 439 nt
Filed under: Brachypodium distachyon (stiff brome)
Lineage: Eukaryota; Viridiplantae; Streptophyta; Magnoliopsida; Poales; Poaceae
Description: long non-coding RNA (BDIS_LNC005942)
Source: RNAcentral